GCGUCGUCUAUUGAGAGGAGGAGCCUCAGCGCAAGUAUGCCCCGCCCAUAGAGAAGAGUCGUUGGCAACGCUCCAACAACACGGCGGCACCAAAAGAGAGGUAGAACACAGACGUUCGAACUAAU
Non-coding RNA from Caenorhabditis elegans, 125 nucleotides. The record is from Ensembl. NCBI's taxonomy places the organism in Eukaryota, Metazoa, Nematoda, Chromadorea, Rhabditida, Rhabditidae.